CGAGAAAGCCCGCAAGGGUGAGUAAAGCGGCGCACGGGUGCGUAACACGUGGGUAAUCUGCCCUAGAGUCCGGAAUAACUCGCCGAAAGGCGUGCUAAUGCCGGAUGAGACCACGGGAGCCUCGGCUCCUGCGGGAAAAGGUGGCCUCUGUAUACAAGCUAUCGCUCUAGGAUGAGCCCGCGGCCCAUCAGCUCGUUGGCGGGGUAAUGGCCCACCAAGGCUACGACGGGUAGCUGGUCUGAGAGGACGAUCAGCCACACUGGAACUGAGACACGGUCCAGACUCCUACGGGAAGCAGCAGUGGGGAAUCUUGCGCAAUGGGCGAAAGCCUGACGCAGCAACGCCGCGUGUGUGAUGAAGGUCUUCGGAUCGUAAAGCACUGUCGCGAGGGACG
Molecule: ribosomal RNA, 394 nt
Filed under: uncultured Anaeromyxobacter sp.
Lineage: Bacteria; Pseudomonadati; Myxococcota; Myxococcia; Myxococcales; Anaeromyxobacteraceae
Description: bacterial SSU rRNA
Rfam family: Bacterial small subunit ribosomal RNA
Source: RNAcentral